CAGUGGCACACAGUUCGAAACUCAAUGAAUAAUGAAUUCCUUUCUAAAUACACAUCAUGCCACUAAACCAAAGCCCUUAGAACUAUGUUUCACGGAUCCUCCAAAAAUAUCGUUGCAUUAUGUCGUAUCCUCUAAAUCUGAAUAACUUUUGGAUGAUCUCUAAUACACCCGACGACAUUUUUGAAAGAUCUGAGUGCCAUAGCCUGGUUAGGUUUGGGGUGGGGGGGGUG
Molecule: long non-coding RNA, 230 nt
Filed under: Nicotiana benthamiana
Lineage: Eukaryota; Viridiplantae; Streptophyta; Magnoliopsida; Solanales; Solanaceae
Description: long non-coding RNA (NBEN_LNC000865)
Source: RNAcentral